AGUCGAGCGAAUGGAUUGAGAGCUUGCUCUCAAGAAGUUAGCGGCGGACGGGUGAGUAACACGUGGGUAACCUGCCCAUAAGACUGGGAUAACUCCGGGAAACCGGGGCUAAUACCGGAUAACAUUUUGAACCGCAUGGUUCGAAAUUGAAAGGCGGCUUCGGCUGUCACUUAUGGAUGGACCCGCGUCGCAUUAGCUAGUUGGUGAGGUAACGGCUCACCAAGGCAACGAUGCGUAGCCGACCUGAGAGGGUGAUCGGCCACACUGGGACUGAGACACGGCCCAGACUCCUACGGGAGGCAGCAGUAGGGAAUCUUCCGCAAUGGACGAAAGUCUGACGGAGCAACGCCGCGUGAGUGAUGAAGGCUUUCGGGUCGUAAAACUCUGUUGUUAGGGAAGAACAAGUGCUAGUUGAAUAAGCUGGCACCUUGACGGUACCUAACCAGAAAGCCACGGCUAACUACGUGCCAGCAGCCGCGGUAAUACGUAGGUGGCAAGCGUUAUCCGGAAUUAUUGGGCGUAAAGCGCGCGCAGGUGGUUUCUUAAGUCUGAUGUGAAAGCCCACGGCUCAACCGUGGAGGGGUCAUUGGAAACUGGGAGACUUGAGUGCAGAAGAGGAAAGUGGAAUUCCAUGUGUAGCGGUGAAAUGCGUAGAGAUAUGGAGGAACACCAGUGGCGA
Molecule: ribosomal RNA, 679 nt
Filed under: Bacillus cereus
Lineage: Bacteria; Bacillati; Bacillota; Bacilli; Caryophanales; Bacillaceae
Description: bacterial SSU rRNA
Rfam family: Bacterial small subunit ribosomal RNA
Source: RNAcentral